GAAAAUAGAUGUUCCCUUAGUUCUUGAGACAGAGAUGCUGAGUUGUAGGAGAAAAGCCUACAAUAGAUCCAACCAGAGAGGAGGGUCUGGAGGCUAUGCCCUUCCCUUUCCCUGAGCAUUCAAGAAAGAGGCUAAAAUAAGCACUGUUGGCUCAAUGGUGGCCGAGGGAAGAGCUUCCAGGGGCAGGAACAAGCCCCUUGUGGCCAUCUACAGCUCAGACGGGAGAGUGGGGGAGGGAGGCAGAUCUAUCAUCUGAGGCCACUUCCUUCUCUCCUUUGAAACUAGCCUUUCAAGUGAGAAAAGAGGCUGUACCAGGAUGAAAGGACAAUUAUGGCCUCCCUGUAGUCAACAAGAAUGUCGGCCGGCCCCUCAAAUUUAGGUGAGCAUGCACUGUGCAGCAUGAGGCUUCUCAUUCGGGCUUGGAAGUACAUGGGAACCCCCAAAGUAAAGCAGCCACUGAUGAGUAAAUCGCUCCUUGUUAUCUGAACAACAUUUUGCAGAG
This 502-nucleotide long non-coding RNA is filed under the name Bos taurus (domestic cattle). RNAcentral describes it as "long non-coding RNA NONBTAT025003". The record is from RNAcentral. Lineage: Eukaryota; Metazoa; Chordata; Mammalia; Artiodactyla; Bovidae.